RNAcentral lists this ribosomal RNA (394 nucleotides) under uncultured bacterium. RNAcentral describes it as "bacterial SSU rRNA". It matches the Rfam family "Bacterial small subunit ribosomal RNA", at positions 30 to 424 of the family's 1533-position model. The record is from RNAcentral.
AUUGAACGCUGGCGGCAUGCCUUACACAUGCAAGUCGAACGGCAGCACGGGAGCAAUCCUGGUGGCGAGUGGCGAACGGGUGAGUAAUAUAUCGGAACGUGCCCAGUCGUGGGGAUAACGUAGCGAAAGCUACGCUAAUACCGCAUACGAUCUAUGGAUGAAAGCGGGGGAUCGCAAGACCUCGCGCGAUUGGAGCGGCCGAUAUCAGAUUAGGUAGUUGGUGAGGUAAAGGCUCACCAAGCCGACGAUCUGUAGCUGGUCUGAGAGGACGACCAGCCACACUGGGACUGAGACACGGCCCAGACUCCUACGGAGGCAGCAGUGGGGGAAUUUUGGGACAAUGGGCGCAAGCCUGAUCCAGCAAUGCCGCGUGCAGGAUGAAGGCCUUCGGGUU